GACGAACGCUGGCGGCGUGCUUAACACAUGCAAGUCGAACGGUGAAGCGCCUUCCUUUUUGGUGGGUGUGGAUGAGUGGCGAACGGGUGAGUAACACGUGAGUAACCUGCCCCCUUCUUCUGGAUAACCGCAUGAAAGUGUGGCUAAUACGGGAUAUUCUGGGUCUGUCGCAUGAUGGGUCUGGGAAAGAUAUUGUUUCGGUGGGGGAUGGGCUCGCGGCCUAUCAGCUUUUUGGUGGGGUGAUGGCCUACCAAGGCGGUGACGGGUAGCCGGCCUGAGAGGGUGGACGGUCACACUGGGACUGAGACACGGCCCAGACUCCUACGGGAGGCAGCAGUGGGGAAUAUUGCACAAUGGGCGCAAGCCUGAUGCAGCGACGCCGCGUGAGGGAUGGAGGCCUUCGGGUUGUGAACCUCUUUCGCCAGUGAAGCAGGCCUGCCUCGUUUGUGGGUGGGUUGACGGUAGCUGGAUAAGAAGCGCCGGCUAACUACGUG
RNAcentral lists this ribosomal RNA (494 nucleotides) under uncultured bacterium. Its description in RNAcentral is "partial 16S ribosomal RNA". It matches the Rfam family "Bacterial small subunit ribosomal RNA", at positions 28 to 507 of the family's 1533-position model. The record is from RNAcentral.